Molecule: ribosomal RNA, 468 nt
Filed under: uncultured bacterium
Lineage: Bacteria
Description: partial 16S ribosomal RNA
Rfam family: Bacterial small subunit ribosomal RNA
Source: RNAcentral
GAUGAACGCUGGCGGCGUGCUUAACACAUGCAAGUCGAACGGCAAGGCCCUGCUUUUGUGGGGUGCUCGAGUGGCGAUCGGGUGCGUAACACGUGUGUAACCUGCCCUUGACUUUGGGAUAACUUCAGGAAACUGGGGCUAAUCCCAGAUCGCAGCUCCUGCUGCAUUGUGGGGGUUGGAAAGUUUCGGCGGUUGGGGAUGGACUAGCGGCUUAUAAGCUUGUUGGUGGGGUAGUGGCUUACCCAGGCUGUGACGGGUAGCCGGCAUGUGAAGGUGACCAGCCACAAGGGGACUGAGAGACGGCCCAGACGCCUACGGGAGACAGCAGUCGGGAAUAUUGCACAGUGAGCGGAAGCCGGAUGCAGCAACGCCGCGUUCGUGAUGACGGCCUGCUGGGUGUAAACCGCUUUAGCCUAUGACGAAGCGGGAGUGACGGUAAUGAGUAAAGAAGCACCGGCUAACUACGUG